UUGAAAGGGAAACGAUUGAAGUCAGCCGUACCGAUGGACAAUCAGCCUUUUGAGUGCGAUUCUGUGGGGCAUGAGGAGGAAACCCUCGUGUUUUGCAUAUUUGUGCUCUUUGGGUGUAUUUGUUCGUAUGGUGGGUUAACAUCAAUUUUGGUCGUCAUAAAGUGACGGGAGGAAUGUAGCUUUGUCUCGUAUUGAAGUGUUAUAGCCUCUGGUAGAUGUGACGACCGGGAUUGAGGAUUGCAACGGAUACCCCUCGGGGCUACUCGCCUGAUCUCUGAUCGUUACUCUGGUGCCGAAAGCUUGCUUAUGUCAUCAAAGUUGAUGGUCAAAAGGUUAGAACGGGUUAAAUUCGUUAAGGAUGUUGACGUA
Molecule: ribosomal RNA, 369 nt
Filed under: Glomus sp. acp12
Lineage: Eukaryota; Fungi; Glomeromycota; Glomeromycetes; Glomerales; Glomeraceae
Description: eukaryotic LSU rRNA
Source: RNAcentral